UACGGGGGGGGCAAGCGUUGUUCGGAAUUACUGGGCGUAAAGGGCUCGUAGGUGGCCAACUAAGUCAGACGUGAAAUCCCUCAGCUUAACUGGGGAACUGCGUCUGAUACUGGAUGGCUUGAGUUUGGGAGAGGGAUGCGGAAUUCCAGGUGUAGCGGUGAAAUGCGUAGAUAUCGGGAGGAACACCUGUGGCGAAGGCGGCCCCCUGGUUGGAUACUGACGCUGAGACGCGAAAGCGUGGGGAGCAAACAGG
Molecule: ribosomal RNA, 253 nt
Filed under: uncultured bacterium
Lineage: Bacteria
Description: partial 16S ribosomal RNA
Rfam family: Bacterial small subunit ribosomal RNA
Source: RNAcentral